AGGAGAUUGAUUACUUAAUAUGUAUAUCUUUAUUUAGUGAUACAUCUUAAAAUUGUACGUGCUUAUGGAACUUGAACAAAAGAUGCACAUGUUUUGAUGGAAGAUUCUAACCGUUCGUUGAUAGAUUCUCAAUCAUCGUCACUUCAAAAUUCAACCCAAAACAAUUGAUUAUCUACAUCGUGCGCUAGGGAUUUUUGCAGAAAAGUCCAUCUAAAAUCCAUAUCAAACCCUUCAUUAGUAUUGAGAAAUCAUAGCCAGAAAUCAAUUCUCCUCACCCUGUUGCAACAGUGGGACACAAUCUUUCAAAAAGCACCUUCAAACACCCCAAUAACCUUACGCAUUCUUGAGUUAUUAAAAAUCAAAAAUAGUCCAGGUUAGGAUAGACAAUAGCGAAACAGCAGCAAAUUAAAGCCAUACCAGAUUUCAUCAUAAAGACAAAACGAGGAUCGGUUCAGUUGGGUACUACAUCAGCACAGAACUGAGGUAACACUCAACCAAAUCAGGUCUCAUUUGUUUCUUUGUAAUUGCUUAUCAAACUUUCAUCUGAGAUUCUGAAGAGCCUUAUUUGGCUGUGGUUAAGUUUGGCUAUGGAGAUGAGCUAUAUUGAAACUUGGCGUUGAACCGGAGUUGACGUUCAUGAAAGAAGAGGAUAGAGAAAGGACAAAUAGAAGAGGUAGACGAAAUGUAGAGAAUGAGAUUAGGCUUUGGAUACGCGGAUGAUUUGGUUGUAUUAUUAACGUUUUUGACAUAAAAGUCAUCAUUUAAAUCAUGUUACGACCUCUCGGGAAAUGGUAG
RNAcentral lists this long non-coding RNA (795 nucleotides) under Panax ginseng (ginseng). RNAcentral describes it as "long non-coding RNA (PGIN_LNC003138)". Lineage: Eukaryota; Viridiplantae; Streptophyta; Magnoliopsida; Apiales; Araliaceae. The record is from RNAcentral.